UUAAUUGAAGCCAAAUAGAGGCAUAUUAAUGUUAAUAAUACCAUUGAGAUAUUCUCCAAUUAAA
RNAcentral lists this transfer RNA (64 nucleotides) under Yunnantettix bannaensis. RNAcentral's name for it is "tRNA-Asn". The record is from RNAcentral. Lineage: Eukaryota; Metazoa; Arthropoda; Insecta; Orthoptera; Tetrigidae.